Urocitellus parryii (Arctic ground squirrel) is the source of this 405-nucleotide non-coding RNA. NCBI's taxonomy places the organism in Eukaryota, Metazoa, Chordata, Mammalia, Rodentia, Sciuridae. The record is from RefSeq and is a predicted model, not a curated record.
UUAUAGCUUUGUGGCCCUUUCGCGCUCCUGGCUCCCAGAUAGGAGAUGGAAACUUGGGCAUUACUCUCUCGGGUUCAAGAAGAUUAACCUUUCACCUAAUGUGGAAGGUUUGCACACAUUGAAGAUCUGAAGGGCUUCCAGAAUGUUUGGUUCUUCUCCCUGGCUGCCUCUCCUAGACUUGGAAUCUGUCCUAGCCCAGUGAUAAACCAAUAGGGAUGAGGAAUAGACUUUCGGUGCCAGCUCAUUGACUUGGAGAGAGAAAAAGAAGACACUGCUGCUGGCUGUGUUCAUUUCCUUAUUAAUGACAAAUAGCCAUGGCAGUCCACGGAGAGCAUACUGUGCCUAUAGCAGGCAGCUACUGGAUUGGUAUCAUGGAGGUGUUCCUAGCCUAUAAAAUGACUUGUG